RNAcentral lists this long non-coding RNA (372 nucleotides) under Cricetulus griseus (Chinese hamster). RNAcentral describes it as "lncRNA (ENSCGRG00000025187.1)". Lineage: Eukaryota; Metazoa; Chordata; Mammalia; Rodentia; Cricetidae. The record is from RNAcentral.
GGCCAAUGCCUGUGCCAUCCCUGUCCUGCAGCUCUGUGUCAUCCCUGUACUACAGCCCUGUGUCAUCCCCAUACUACAGCCCUGUGUCAUCCACGUACUGCAGCUCUGCAGUCCUUCAGCUCUGCAGUCACCUCUGGUCUUUGUCAUCGUGUGAAUGCAUACAUUCGAAGGGGAUGGGCCACCACUUAUACAGAUGAAUGAAUUACCAGUAAGUGGCUCACAUACGUGUGUAAACUCUCGAUGAAGGAACAGACCAUUGCCAGGAACAUACCAGGACACUCCAGGGUCUCUACCCACCACUGAUCCAUCUCCCAAGGAGACAAUAAGCACAGGUGAAUUUUGCUUUGUUCACUGUUGUAUUUGUCAGACAUG